This 74-nucleotide transfer RNA is filed under the name Schistocerca americana (American grasshopper). RNAcentral describes it as "tRNA-Pro". It matches the Rfam family "tRNA". From Rfam's summary of the family: Transfer RNA (tRNA) molecules are approximately 80 nucleotides in length. Their secondary structure includes four short double-helical elements and three loops (D, anti-codon, and T loops). Further hydrogen bonds mediate the characteristic L-shaped molecular structure. tRNAs have two regions of fundamental functional importance: the anti-codon, which is responsible for specific mRNA codon recognition, and the 3' end, to which the tRNAs corresponding amino acid is attached (by aminoacyl-tRNA synthetases). tRNAs cope with the degeneracy of the genetic code in two manners: having more than one tRNA (with a specific anti-codon) for a particular amino acid; and 'wobble' base-pairing, i.e. permitting non-standard base-pairing at the 3rd anti-codon position. The record is from RNAcentral. RNAcentral also lists the same sequence under 1 other name. Lineage: Eukaryota; Metazoa; Arthropoda; Insecta; Orthoptera; Acrididae.
UGCUUGGAUAGCUCAGUUGGUAGAGCCUUGCCCGCGGGAGGCAAAGGUCCCGAGUUCGAGUCUCGGUCCGGCAC